CUUAAAUUGAAGAGUUUGAUCAUGGCUCAGAUUGAACGCUGGCGGCAGGCCUAACACAUGCAAGUCGAGCGGUAGCACAGAGGAGCUUGCUCCUUGGGUGACGAGCGGCGGACGGGUGAGUAAUGUCUGGGAAACUGCCUGAUGGAGGGGGAUAACUACUGGAAACGGUAGCUAAUACCGCAUAACCUCGCAAGAGCAAAGAGGGGGACCUUAGGGCCUCUCGCCAUCAGAUGUGCCCAGAUGGGAUUAGCUAGUAGGUGAGGUAAUGGCUCACCUAGGCGACGAUCCCUAGCUGGUCUGAGAGGAUGACCAGCCACACUGGAACUGAGACACGGUCCAGACUCCUACGGGAGGCAGCAGUGGGGAAUAUUGCACAAUGGGCGCAAGCCUGAUGCAGCCAUGCCGCGUGUGUGAAGAAGGCCUUCGGGUUGUAAAGCACUUUCAGCGAGGAGGAAGGCGGUAAGGUUAAUA
RNAcentral lists this ribosomal RNA (471 nucleotides) under Pectobacterium carotovorum subsp. carotovorum. Its description in RNAcentral is "bacterial SSU rRNA". It matches the Rfam family "Bacterial small subunit ribosomal RNA", at positions 1 to 465 of the family's 1533-position model. The record is from RNAcentral. Lineage: Bacteria; Pseudomonadati; Pseudomonadota; Gammaproteobacteria; Enterobacterales; Pectobacteriaceae.